GUGAAUCAUCAAAUUUUUGAACGCAAAUUGCACUCUCUUCGGAGAGUAUGCCUGUUUGAGGGUCGUUAGAAUAAAAAAUCGAGGCGUCGCUCUUUUUUGUAAGGGUGAUCGCGUCGGAAUUGAGCCGUCUUUCAAAUGUUAAUUCAUGUCAAAGUGGAUUGAAAUUAAUCCAUCCGGUACGAUUAAAGCGUAUUUAUUAUCAAUCUUGAUUAAGAACGCGCGAUGACUUACCAUCUCAUGUAGUACGUUUGCCU
RNAcentral lists this unclassified non-coding RNA (254 nucleotides) under Funneliformis mosseae. RNAcentral's name for it is "partial contains 5.8S ribosomal RNA and internal transcribed spacer 2". The stretch from base 1 to 65 matches the Rfam family "5.8S ribosomal RNA", at positions 84 to 154 of the family's 154-position model. Lineage: Eukaryota; Fungi; Glomeromycota; Glomeromycetes; Glomerales; Glomeraceae. The record is from RNAcentral.